GACGAACGCUGGCGGCGUGCUUAACACAUGCAAGUCGAACGGAAAGGCCCUGCUUUUGUGGGGUGCUCGAGUGGCGAACGGGUGAGUAACACGUGAGUAACCUGCCCUUGACUUUGGGAUAAUUUCAGGAAACUGGGGCUAAUACCGGAUAGGAGCUCCUGCUGCAUGGUGGGGGUUGGAAAGUUUCGGCGGUUGGGGAUGGACUCGCGGCUUAUCAGCUUGUUGGUGGGGUAGUGGCUUACCAAGGCUUUGACGGGUAGCCGGCCUGAGAGGGUGACCGGCCACAUUGGGACUGAGAUACGGCCCAGACUCCUACGGGAGGCAGCAGUGGGGAAUAUUGCACAAUGGGCGGAAGCCUGAUGCAGCAACGCCGCGUGCGGGAUGACGGCCUUCGGGUUGUAAACCGCUUUCGCCUGUGACGAAGCGUGAGUGACGGAAAUGGGUAAAGAAGCACCGGCUAACUACGUG
This 468-nucleotide ribosomal RNA is filed under the name uncultured bacterium. RNAcentral's name for it is "partial 16S ribosomal RNA". It matches the Rfam family "Bacterial small subunit ribosomal RNA", at positions 28 to 507 of the family's 1533-position model. The record is from RNAcentral.